ACAUUGCUGUGCAAGUGGCAAAAAGAGUCCUGUCCCAGCACUGCCAGGGUAAGAUAAAGGCUGGUCAUCUGUGCAUGCGUUCAUCUGAGUGGAACGUGAGUCCCGGGGGCUGCUGCCACCGUGCCGGUCCCUCCUGUCAUCCGAGCCCGUGUCAGAGGACGCGGCGCCUGCAAGGCAAGUGCCGUGGCUCGGGUUGCCCUACGCGCGCUGGUCUAACACGCCACCUUAAAACACAAUUAGCCGCUGACACCAGGUGCUGCCUGGUUCUUGCCACGUUGCACUUCUCACGUUGCUCGUAACGGUGUUUGUAAAGUGCUCCCCCUUUUCAGUUAGCAGGGCUGCUCCUUCCACUUCCCCGUUCACCUGUGCAGCUGCCGGGGUCUCAGGGAGCCCGCGCCCAGUGCUGGCAAAAUAGCUGAAAGCCUGUCAUCAGGCAAAAUUUAUUCCACAUGCUGUUGAUGAAGCCAAUCAGUGCUGUGACUCCCCUUUUGUUUAUGUUUAAAGAAGAGACGAAGGAAAGCGUCAAUAAAUAAGCUCAAGCGACAUCGUCGCUGCGUGUGUCCGUUUCCUACUGUUGCGUGCUGGGCAUGGAGGGGUUCAAUCCCCCGGUUUCACACUCUGCCCCUCUUUGAAGUGGCUGCAGGUUCCCGGGCUGCUUUGUGCAUCCAAAGGGAUGCUUUGCGCUCCUCCGCAUCCCUGCAAUCAACAAUACCUGCUUCAUUUUUUUUCCCCGUAGUAAUUAUCCUUUUAUAUUUACAUAAAGGGGCUGCCCUCUGAGUGGGCAUAAAUGCUGACGACCAUAGGAGUUAGUUACUCUGUGCCUGCCUGAAUUGCAUUAGCUGCUAAUUACUCUGAGGUCUCCCUAAUGUCUCUGGUCUUAUCCACUAAAGCACACUGUGUAAUUUACAUUUACAUUGUGUCAUAUUACACUGGGGUUAUGACACAGCCAAGUGUAUUUUGACGUUACACUUUGUUUUCCCCCUAAUGGUGCUUGCAGGAAGAAGGGUUGCCGCAGGUGUGGCCAGAUCCUCUAGGCAAGAGGUGUGGAUUCAGGUCCUACUAGUCUUACUCCUGAUGAAGCUGGGCAAAUCAGUUGGCUCUGGAGUAAUUAGUAGCCCCUUCCUCACUGACCAUUGCAAGAUGUUUAAAGACAUGAAGCCAAAGACAAAUUUUUCAACCAGAACCCUCAAGAAAUGUCACUUCUGUGUCUUGCCAAGAGAGAUCCAGCAUUUUUUCUACAUAAACAUCUGCUGGAAACAUUUUAAAGGGAGGCAUUUUAAAUAAUGACGUUUAUAGCUUCUUGUUCUUUAAUAAGUCUGAAAAAGAAGAAAAAUGAAUUUGUGAUACAUUCCUUCCCAAAGCAACUUUUCUUCACUGAUAUGCAUCAUAUUAGAUGAUCUAAAAGUGAAAAUAUUAACAUUAUGUUGGGGGGAAAUGGUUAAGAACAUUUCUCUGAACUGUCUGUAUCAAUCAUACCUGAGAGUCAGUCAUAAAUCACAGGUUCCUUAAACUCCAGAAACUCCAUCAGUUCAUUGUUUCGCCUACUUGUUUGUGGCAAUUAUACUACAUUUAUAUUUACAUAAUAAUUGGAUUUUCUAUUAAAUUAAACAAAAAACCUCUCAAAAAAGAGAGUCAGGGAACCAUAACUUAGCUAUACAACCUGAACAAUGCAAACUCAUUUGUAGUUAGAAUGGAAACUUCAUCUUGUACAAACUAACACGGAUGUUUGGGGAUAAUUCUCUGUAGGAAAUGCAAGAUAUAUUGCCAGGCUCUUUAAGGUUCCAUGGAAAAGACACACACGCAUUGCCUUUGGUAAUAGGUGUUUAUUGCAAAGAUACACAAAGAUGUAAUUUAGCAAGAAAUGUUAUCUCGUAGUUACUUUGGGUUUCACUGUUUUAAAGAAUCAAGUGUACUGCAGGCAUCAUGAAGAAGUGAGAAAAUGGCUUGGCACCUUUCAGAUUACAAACUAAGCUCAAAUGAUAUGUCUUUUUUUCCUUUACCCAGCAUUUUAACUUCCCCAAACAACUGAUUUGAUUGACAGCUUUGCCACCAUCAAAAACCUAUUGUCAUGAAUUUCACCCAAGUCAGCUCAGGGUACUUAUGCACUAGUACUUAAGUAAAAGGUUGUUUCUCUUGACACAUGGAGUUCAAGCAAUUAAUGACCAAUUCAAUGAAGUACUGGUUUUGGUCCUUUUAGAAAUUAGCAAUGGCCAUGGCUGAAACAAUUUUCCUGGAGUUCUUCUGCAGCAUAUUCAAUAAAUUAGAUAAAAUGGAAAAAAGUGCAUAAGGCAAGGAUUCAGUAUGUAUGCCUUCAAAUGAAGACAGGUUAUCACCUGAAAAUAGCUUUGGAGACUGACAGUAUACUGAAAAACAUUAUUAGUAAUUACUACUUUUAGGAUGGUGGAGUAAGAUCCUCCAUCAAAACAUGAGUUUCCUAAACUCUGACAUCAGCCUCCAAACCACAUACACCCAUCCAAUGAAACAGGUAAAAAUCUGUCUGGCUACUAGGUGUUAAAUGCAGCCUUUGAGGAAUAAGUAUCUUAUAUGAACCAGGGACAACACGUAACUAAUCAGGUGACAAGAUGCAGACAUGGGUUAAAAUUUGAGCAGGAAAAGCAGAAAUUUAAUGCUAUAAUGGAAAUAGACUAUAGAAUUACUUCACCAAACUUACUAAACAAAUAAGUAAACAACCACAUACACAGCCAAAACAACCCUUAGUGUGUGUUGGUGAGGGGAAUUAGAAUAGGGACUUGCUAGAAUAUAUUAUUUUUAAAAUUUCAGUUUUCAACAGCAACAACAAAAAUGUCAUCUACAAAGAAAUAGGAAAAUGUUAGACAGAAGAAAGGAAGUGGGCAAUGGAAAUAUUGCUUUGGAAGAGGUCCAGAUGGUGAAUUAAAAAACACCUCCAAGCAAUUAUUACAGAUAUGUUCAAAGACUAAAGAAAAACCAUAUUUCAAUAAUUAAUGAUUAUAAUGACAAUGUCCUAUCAAAUGUAUUAUAUAUCAAUACAGAUAGAAAAAUAUCGAAAGGAAUCAAAUAGAAAUUCUAUAUUAGAAGUAAAAUAAAAACAAAAUUAAAAGUUUACUAGCAGGGUUCAACAGUAGAUACAAGGAAGCAUGAGAAAGAAUGUGUAGAUUUGAAGAUAGAUUCAACAGAGAUCAUGCAAUCUGAAGAGUAGAGAAAAAAAUAAUAAAAACAUGCAGGCAGCCUCAGAAAAAUGUGGGAUAACAAUAAAUACAUUAACAUACAUAUAAUGGAGUUACCAGAAGUAUAGGCAAGAGAGAAAAGGACAAAUAAAUAUUCAAAGAAAUAAUGGAUGAAAACUUCCAAAAUUUGAUGAAGACAUUAUCUAAACAUCCAAGAUCAAUUAAUGAACUAGAAGGAGGAUAAAUGCAGAGAUAUAUCAACACCCACACACAUCAUAGUCAACACAUUAAAACCCAGAGAUAAACAUAAUAUUUUCAAAUUGGUAAGAGGAAAAGUACUCAAGUACCAGGAGAUUCCACUAAAAUUAAUAGCUGACUUUGCAACAGAAACAAUGGAGGUCAGAAAGCAGUGGGGUGACAUACUUAAAGGGCUAAAAGUAAAAAUAACUGUCAGCCAAAUAUACACACAUUGAAAUUAUUUUUUAAAAAUGAAGGUUCAGGCCAGGUGCAGUGGCUCAUACCUAUAAUCCUAGCACUUUGGGAGGCCCAGGCUGGCAGAUCACCUGAAGUCAGGAGUUCGAAACCAGCCGUGACAACAUUGAGAAACCGCAUCUCUACUGAAAAUAGAAAAAUUAGCUGGCGUGGUGGCACAUGCCUGUAAUCCCAGCUACUCAGGAGGUUGAGGCAGGAGAAUUGCUUGAACCCAGGAGGCAGAUGUUGCAGUGAGCCAAGAUGGCACCACUGCACUCCAGCCUGGGUGACAGAGCGAGACCUCCUCUCAAAAAAACAAAACAAAAAACAAAAAGAAAAAAAAGUAAGAAGGUGCAGUGAGUACCUUGUGAGCUAAAUAAAUACCCAGAUAAUUGUUUCUUUAAGAACUGCUUUUCAAAAAUACCAAAGGAAAUUAAUCAAACUGAAAGCAAGUUAAACCAGUCAGUAAUCAAAUCCACAGAGAGAAAAAAAACACUCAAAAAGGCAAUUAGGUAGGCAACUACAAAAAAUGAGAUAAUUGCCUAUUUGUUUUUUUCUUCUCGUAACCAUUUUAAAAAGCAAUUGUUAAAAAUAUGUAAAUAAUUAUAUUAUUGAGCCUAUAAUAUGUAGAAAUGUAAUAUAUUUGAAAAUAAGAGCAUAGAGGAAGUAGGUAGAAAUAAAGCUAUAUAGGAAUGAGAAAAUGAUACCACAACUCAAAUACCUAGGAAGAAAUAAAGAGAACCAGAAAGAGCAAAUAAGG
RNAcentral lists this long non-coding RNA (4377 nucleotides) under Pan paniscus (pygmy chimpanzee). RNAcentral describes it as "lncRNA (ENSPPAG00000044903.1)". The record is from RNAcentral. Lineage: Eukaryota; Metazoa; Chordata; Mammalia; Primates; Hominidae.